This 90-nucleotide microRNA precursor is filed under the name Canis lupus familiaris (dog). Its description in RNAcentral is "mir-8799 microRNA precursor family". It matches the Rfam family "mir-8799 microRNA precursor family". Lineage: Eukaryota; Metazoa; Chordata; Mammalia; Carnivora; Canidae. The record is from Rfam by way of RNAcentral. RNAcentral also lists the same sequence under 1 other name.
GGGGGGAGGCCGGAUCCUGGUGUGUGUCCAGGCGCCCAGUGCUCCCUGGCCUGUACUUUUGGAUUCGCACUCCCGGCCGCGCAGUCGCCU